CCUACGGGUGGCAGCAGUGGGGAAUAUUGCACAAUGGGCGAAAGCCUGAUGCAGCAACGCCGCGUGAAGGAAGACGGUUCUCGGAUUGGAAACCUCUGUUCUUAGUGAAGAAUAAUGACGGUAACUAAGGAGCAAGCCACGGCUAACUACGUGACAGCAGCCGAGGUAAGACGGAGGUGGCAAGCGUUGUCCGGAAUUACUGGGUGUAAAGGGAGCGUAGGGGGGAAGCCAAGUCAGCGGUGAAAACUACGGGCUUAACCGUUAGACUGCAGUUGAAAAUGGCAUGUUUGAGUAAAGUUGAGGUUGGCGGAAUUCGUAGUGUAGCGGUGAAAUGCGUAGAUAUUCCGAAGAACACCGGUGGCGAAGGCGGCCAACUAGGCUUUAACUGACGCUGAUGCUCGAAAGUGUGGGUAGCAAACAGGAUUAGAUACCCUGGUAGUC
This 441-nucleotide ribosomal RNA is filed under the name uncultured bacterium. RNAcentral describes it as "partial 16S ribosomal RNA". It matches the Rfam family "Bacterial small subunit ribosomal RNA", at positions 338 to 795 of the family's 1533-position model. The record is from RNAcentral.